CGAAAGCACUUCGGUGUGAGUAGAGCGGCGGACGGGUGAGUAACGCGUAAGAAUCUACCUAGUAGUGGGGGACAACUCGAGGAAACUCGAGCUAAUACCGCAUACGCCCUACGGGGGAAAGCGGGGGACCUUCGGGCCUCGCGCUAUUAGAUGAGCUUGCGUUGGAUUAGCUUGUUGGUGAGGUAAUGGCUCACCAAGGCUACGAUCCAUAGCUGGUCUGAGAGGAUGAUCAGCCACACCGGGACUGAGACACGGCCCGGACUCCUACGGGAGGCAGCAGUGGGGAAUAUUGCGCAAUGGGCGAAAGCCUGACGCAGCCAUGCCGCGUGUGUGAAGAAGGCCUUAGGGUUGUAAAGCACUUUCAAUUGGGAGGAAAAGUUAACGACUAAUACUCGUUAGCCUUGACGUUACCUUUAGAAGAAGCACCGGCUAACUCCGUGCCAGCAGCCGCGGUAAUACGGAGGGUGCAAGCGUUAAUCGGAAUUACUGGGCGUAAAGCGCGCGUAGGCGGCUUUUUAAGUCGGAUGUGAAAGCCCCGGGCUCAACCUGGGAACUGCAUCCGAUACUGGAAGACUAGAGUGCGAGAGAGGGAGGUAGAAUUCCAUGUGUAGCGGUGAAAUGCGUAGAUAUAUGGAGGAAUACCAGUGGCGAAGGCGGCCUCCUGGCUCGACACUGACGCUGAG
This 683-nucleotide ribosomal RNA is filed under the name bacterium IMCC8632. Its description in RNAcentral is "bacterial SSU rRNA". It matches the Rfam family "Bacterial small subunit ribosomal RNA", at positions 67 to 750 of the family's 1533-position model. The record is from RNAcentral.